Molecule: ribosomal RNA, 460 nt
Filed under: uncultured bacterium
Lineage: Bacteria
Description: partial 16S ribosomal RNA
Rfam family: Bacterial small subunit ribosomal RNA
Source: RNAcentral
CCUACGGGUAGCAGCAGUGAGGAAUAUUGGUCAAUGGGCUUACGCCUGAACCAGCCAAGUCGCGUGAGGGAAGACUGCCCUAUGGGUUGUAAACCUCUUUUGUCAGGGAGCAAUUGGCGCUACGUGUAGCGUUAUCGAGAGUACCUGAAGAAAAAGCAUCGGCUAACUCCGUGGCAGCAGCCGCGGUAAUACGGAGGAUGCGAGCGUUAUCCGGAUUUAUUGGGUUUAGAGGGUGCGUAGGCGGAAUGCCAAGUCAGCGGUAAAAUCGCGGGGCUCAACCUCGCUCCGCCGUUGAAACUGGCGUUCUUGAGUGGGCGAGAAGUAUGCGGAAUGCGUGGUGUAGCGGUGAAAUGCAUAGAUAUCACGCAGAACUCCGAUUGCGAAGGCAGCAUACCGGCGCCCAACUGACGCUGAAGCACGAAAGCGUGGGUAUCGAACAGGAUUAGAUACCCCGGUAGUC